AUACUUACCUGGCAUGUGAGAUACCAUGAUCACAAAGGUGGUUUUCAUAGAGGGUUUGUGCUCACACUUUCCCCUAGCUGAAAAAAAACAGAAAUUUUAUGACUUACAUGGGUCUGUAU
This 119-nucleotide small nuclear RNA is filed under the name Castor canadensis (American beaver). Its description in RNAcentral is "U1 spliceosomal RNA (ENSCCNG00000001430.1)". Lineage: Eukaryota; Metazoa; Chordata; Mammalia; Rodentia; Castoridae. The record is from RNAcentral.